GAUUACUGCAGCCAUAUUGAAAAUAGUCAAGAUGGUCAAGGCAUCAAAACGUUCAUCAACAGCAUGUCAUUGUCAACACUUCUAAAACUGAUUCGCGCUAAACAGAGGCAACUUGUUUUGGAUCAGACACAUCUGCUAAGAGUUCAAGUGGCCUUGGGCAGGUUGUCCAUACCCUCAAAGGCUGAGUUUUACAUUAGCAAACUCCUUCUCCGUUAUUAUACAUUUCUUUAGGUAAGAAUGAAAUGGGAAUCUAAAAGUGCCUCCACAGUCGGGCAAAUAAAAACCCAGCAACAGGAAA
Molecule: long non-coding RNA, 298 nt
Filed under: Rattus norvegicus (Norway rat)
Lineage: Eukaryota; Metazoa; Chordata; Mammalia; Rodentia; Muridae
Description: long non-coding RNA NONRATT012943
Source: RNAcentral